Gossypium arboreum is the source of this 546-nucleotide long non-coding RNA. RefSeq lists it as uncharacterized. NCBI's taxonomy places the organism in Eukaryota, Viridiplantae, Streptophyta, Magnoliopsida, Malvales, Malvaceae. The record is from RefSeq and is a predicted model, not a curated record. The transcript has 2 exons.
GAAAAAAUCUAGAGAUAUCAUCAUUUUUCUUCAGCAAAAACGCCAUAGGAGGUUUGGAAGUUACUGGUUUUUCAUAUUUUGACAUAUGGUUUUUGGCUUUCAAAAGGGAAGAAAAUCGGCUGAAGGAGAAGGAAAGGUUAAAGGAAGGCUUGGGGAAGGUUUCGAAAACGGCGCCGUUCCAAACAAAGAAGGUCCGCGCGUCGACCCGCUGGGUACCCGGAUCCGCGCCUUCUUUGUUUAAAUGGCAUAUUUGCACGUUAGAUCCCCCCUUUGCAUGAGUCUUCGAUUUGUGUUCAGUUGGCUUAUUUUUUAUUUCGCAAUUUAGCAUGUUAAUUUGUGCCUCUUUUCAUUUUAAUCCGCGGUUCAGAAAAGCGUUGUGGUGAUGGGGUAUUUUUAAUACCAGUCCCUGCACAUUUCAUAGGCGUGACACAUUGACCCUAUUUUGCAAUUGUUUUAUUUGUAAAUGGAUUCUCUGAUUUUAAUUUUGUUACAAUUAAAUCUUGUCAUCAUUAUUUUAUUUACUGUACAUAAAUCUUAGUUUUACAA